GCCUACAUGAAGUCGGAAUCGCUAGUAAUCGCGGAUCAGCAUGCCGCGGUGAAUACGUUCCCGGGCCUUGUACACACCGCCCGUCACACCAUGAGAGUUUGUAACACCCAAAGCCCGGUGGGGAACCUUUUGGAGCCAGCCGUCUAAGGUGGGACAGAUGAUUGGGGUGAAGUCGUAACAAGGUAAC
Molecule: ribosomal RNA, 187 nt
Filed under: uncultured bacterium
Lineage: Bacteria
Description: partial 16S ribosomal RNA
Rfam family: Bacterial small subunit ribosomal RNA
Source: RNAcentral